ACGGGGCCCGCACAAGCGGCGGAGCAUGCGGAUUAAUUCGAUGCAACGCGAAGAACCUUUACCAAGGCUUGACAUACGCCGGUAACGCCCAGAGAUGGGUGCCCCUUUGUGGUCGGUGUACAGGUGGUGCAUGGUUGUCGUCAGCUCGUGUCGUGAGAUGUUGGGUUAAGUCCCGCAACGAGCGCAACCCUCGUCCUAUGUUGCCAGCGGGUCAUGCCGGGGACUCAUGGGAGACUGCCGGGGUCAACUCGGAGGAAGGUGGGGAUGACGUCAAAUCAUCAUGCCCCUUAUGUCUUGGGCUUCACGCAUGCUACAAUGGCCGGUACAAAGGGCUGCGAUACCGCGAGGUGGAGCGAAUCCCAGAAAGCCGGUCUCAGUUCGGAUCGCAGUCUGCAACUCGACUGCGUGAAGUCGGAAUCGCUAGUAAUCGCGGAUCAGCAUGUCGCGGUGAAUACGUUCCCGGGUCUU
This 468-nucleotide ribosomal RNA is filed under the name uncultured Curtobacterium sp. RNAcentral describes it as "bacterial SSU rRNA". It matches the Rfam family "Bacterial small subunit ribosomal RNA", at positions 916 to 1381 of the family's 1533-position model. The record is from RNAcentral. Lineage: Bacteria; Bacillati; Actinomycetota; Actinomycetes; Micrococcales; Microbacteriaceae.